RNAcentral lists this ribosomal RNA (544 nucleotides) under uncultured bacterium. Its description in RNAcentral is "bacterial SSU rRNA". It matches the Rfam family "Bacterial small subunit ribosomal RNA", at positions 777 to 1318 of the family's 1533-position model. The record is from RNAcentral.
AAUAGAUACCCGGGUAGUCCAUGCCGUAAACGUUGGGCACUAGGUGUGGGGGGCCGAUUCCACGGUUUCCGCGCCGCAGCUAACGCAUUAAGUGCCCCGCCUGGGGAGUACGGCCGCAAGGCUAAAACUCAAAGGAAUUGACGGGGGCCCGCACAAGCGGCGGAGCAUGCGGAUUAAUUCGAUGCAACGCGAAGAACCUUACCAAGGCUUGACAUGUGCCGGACCGUCCCAGAGAUGGGGCUUCCCUUCGGGGCCGGUUCACAGGUGGUGCAUGGUUGUCGUCAGCUCGUGUCGUGAGAUGUUGGGUUAAGUCCCGCAACGAGCGCAACCCUCGUUCCAUGUUGCCAGCACUUCGGGUGGGGACUCAUGGGAGACUGCCGGGGUCAACUCGGAGGAAGGUGGGGACGACGUCAAAGUCAUCAUGCCCCUUAUGUCUUGGGCUUCACGCAUGCUACAAUGGCCGGUACAAAGGGUUGCGAUACUGUGAGGUGAGCCAAUCCCAGAAAGCCGGUCUCAGUUCGGAUUGGGGUCUGCAACUCGGCCC